UACGGGGGGAGCAAGCGUUGUUCGGAUUUACUGGGCGUAAAGGGCGCGUAGGCGGCCACCGCAAGUCGGUUGUGAAAUCUCCGGGCUUAACCCGGAAAGGUCAAUCGAUACUGCGGGGCUAGAGUGCAGAAGGGGCAACUGGAAUUCUCGGUGUAGCGGUGAAAUGCGUAGAUAUCCGGAGGAACACCGGUGGCGAAGGCGGCUUCCUGGACCGACACCGACGCUGAGGCGCGAAAGCUAGGGGAGCAAACGGG
Molecule: ribosomal RNA, 254 nt
Filed under: uncultured bacterium
Lineage: Bacteria
Description: partial 16S ribosomal RNA
Rfam family: Bacterial small subunit ribosomal RNA
Source: RNAcentral